GAUGAACGCUGGCGGCGUGCCUAAUACAUGCAAGUCGAGCGAACGGACGAGAAGCUUGCUUCUCUGACGUUAGCGGCGGACGGGUGAGUAACACGUGGAUAACCUACCUAUAAGACUGGGAUAACUUCGGGAAACCGGAGCUAAUACCGGAUAAUAUUUUGAACCGCAUGGUUCAAUAGUGAAAGACGGUCUUGCUGUCACUUAUAGAUGGAUCCGCGCUGCAUUAGCUAGUUGGUAAGGUAACGGCUUACCAAGGCAACGAUGCAUAGCCGACCUGAGAGGGGGAUCGGCCAACAUGGAAAGUGAGCACGGUCCAGACUCCUAAGGGAGGCAGCAGUAGGGAAUCUUCCGCAAUGGGCGAAAGCCUGACGGAGCAACGGCGCGUGAGUGAUGGAGGUCUUCGGAUCGGAAAAACCUGUUAUUAGGGAAGAACAUAUGUGGAAGGAAACGUGGACAGCUUGACGGUAACUAAUCAGGAAGCCACGGCUAACUACGUG
This 497-nucleotide ribosomal RNA is filed under the name uncultured bacterium. RNAcentral's name for it is "partial 16S ribosomal RNA". It matches the Rfam family "Bacterial small subunit ribosomal RNA", at positions 28 to 507 of the family's 1533-position model. The record is from RNAcentral.